This is a non-coding RNA of Oryctolagus cuniculus (rabbit), 401 nucleotides long. The record is from the annotation of a RefSeq genome assembly. Lineage: Eukaryota; Metazoa; Chordata; Mammalia; Lagomorpha; Leporidae.
CCUCGGCUGAGCCCUGGGGAGUCUGCACCAUGGCCUGCACCCCGCUCCUCCUCCUCCUCACCCUCCUCCAGUGCACAGGGUCCCUGUCCCAGCCUGUGCUGACUCAGUCAUCCUCUGCGUUGGCCACCCUGGGAGCCUCGGCCAAGCUCACCUGCACUCUGAGCUCUGAGCAUAGCGACUACACCAUUGACUGGUAUCAGCAGCACCCAGGGAAGGCCCCUCGGUACCUGCUGUAUCUUGAGAGUGAUGGAAGCUAUGAAAAGGGGACCGGGGUCCCUGAUCGCUUCUCAGGCUCCAGCUCUGGGGCUGACCACAACUUGAUCAUCUCCAGCAUCCAGGCUGAGAAUGAAGCCGACUACAUCUGUGGUGUAGUUUCUCUCAUUGAUGGAUUGCAUAGUUAA